GCCAGCAGCCGCGGUAAUACGUAGGGGGCAAGCGUUAUCCGGAAUCACUGGGCGUAAAGGGUGCGUAGGCGGCUGAUCAAGCCAGGGGUGAAAGGCAAUAGCUUAACUAUUGUGAGCCUUUGGAACUGGUCAGCUUGAGUGCAGGAGAGGAAAGCGGAAUUCCUAGUGUAGCGGUGAAAUGCGUAGAUAUUAGGAGGAACACCCGUGGCGAAGGCGGCUUUCUGGACUGUAACUGACGCUGAGGCACGAAAGCGUGGGGAGCAAACAGGAUUAGAUACCCUGGUAGUCCACGCUGUAAACGAUGAAUACUAGGUGUCGGGGGUCAAAGCCCGGUGCCGCAGCUAACGCAUUAAGUAUUCCCCCUGGGGAGUACGGUCGCAAGACUGAAACUCAAAGGAAUUGACGGGGACC
Molecule: ribosomal RNA, 411 nt
Filed under: uncultured bacterium
Lineage: Bacteria
Description: bacterial SSU rRNA
Rfam family: Bacterial small subunit ribosomal RNA
Source: RNAcentral